RNAcentral lists this ribosomal RNA (1103 nucleotides) under Leohumicola sp. Rh11-4. RNAcentral describes it as "eukaryotic LSU rRNA". The stretch from base 1 to 233 matches the Rfam family "Eukaryotic small subunit ribosomal RNA", at positions 1599 to 1831 of the family's 1831-position model. Lineage: Eukaryota; Fungi; Ascomycota; Leotiomycetes. The record is from RNAcentral.
UUCAACGAGGAAUUCCUAGUAAGCGCAAGUCAUCAGCUUGCGCUGAUUACGUCCCUGCCCUUUGUACACACCGCCCGUCGCUACUACCGAUUGAAUGGCUCAGUGAGGCUUUCGGACUGGCCUAGGAAGAGUGGCAACACUCAUCUAGGGCCGGAAAGUUGUCCAAACUUGGUCAUUUAGAGGAAGUAAAAGUCGUAACAAGGUUUCCGUAGAAUAAGUCUCGGAGUAUAUGAUCCUUCCACAGUGAAGCUUAUAGAAGCCUUUGCAGCCUGGCAACAGAUAGCCUUGCGACUCUAAAUAAUAAGGCCUUAUGCAAGUCAGAGUAUCCUUCUGGCAACACAACCGAAUUGACGGGGACACCUUAAAGCCCGCUCCACCAACCGACCCGGGAAAUCGGGUUAGGGCUCAUGUUAACAGCAUGGGGUAUGGUAAGAGAGAGUCGGGAUGUUACAAUAGGCAAUCCGCAGCGAAGAUCCUAAGUGCAGCGCAUACGGAUAACGUUCACAGACUAAGUGGUUGUGGGCACGGUAGAGACCGUGCUUUAGAUAUAGUCGGGCCCCUAGGGAAACCUAGGGAGUAAUAUCACUACAUAUCCGUUCCGUAGGUGAACCUGCGGAAGGAUCAUUACAGAGUUCAUGCCCUCACGGGUAGAUCUCCCACCCUUGAAUACUAUACCUUUGUUGCUUAGGCGGGCCGCUUCGGCUACUGGCUCCAGCUAGUGAGUGCCCGCCAAAGGAUCCUAAAACUCUGAAUAUUUGUGUCGUCUGAGUACUAUGUAAUAGUUAAAACUUUCAACAACGGAUCUCUUGGUUCUGGCAUCGAUGAAGAACGCAGCGAAAUGCGAUAAGUAAUGUGAAUUGCAGAAUUUAGUGAAUCAUCGAAUCUUUGAACGCACAUUGCGCCCCUUGGUAUUCCGAGGGGCAUGCCCGUUCGAGCGUCAUUAUAACCCUUCAAGCCUAGCUUGGUGUUGGGGCCUGCUGUUGCCGGCAGCCCUUAAAAUCAGUGGCGGUGCCAUCUGGCUCUAAGCGUAGUAAUACCUCUCGCUACAGGGUCCUGGUGGAUGCUUGCUAUCAACCCCUAAAUUUCUAUGGUGACCUCGAUCG